Non-coding RNA from Coccomyxa subellipsoidea C-169, 45 nucleotides. NCBI's taxonomy places the organism in Eukaryota, Viridiplantae, Chlorophyta, Trebouxiophyceae, Coccomyxaceae. The record is from Rfam.
CGUAAGGCUCUACUAAGAGCCACACAAGGAUCCUUCAAAUAAAUC